RNAcentral lists this ribosomal RNA (216 nucleotides) under uncultured bacterium. RNAcentral's name for it is "partial 16S ribosomal RNA". It matches the Rfam family "Bacterial small subunit ribosomal RNA", at positions 118 to 351 of the family's 1533-position model. The record is from RNAcentral.
UGGGAACGUACCCUUCGGUUCGGAAUAACCCGGGGAAACUCGGGCUAAUACCGGAUACGUCCGCAAGGAGAAAGAUUUAUCGCCGAAGGAUCGGCCCGCGUCGGAUUAGCUAGUUGGUGAGGUAACGGCCCACCAAGGCUACGAUCCGUAACUGGUCUGAGAGGAUGAUCAGCCACACUGGGACUGAGACACGGCCCAGACUCCUACGGGAGGCAG